RNAcentral lists this transfer RNA (83 nucleotides) under Lachnospiraceae bacterium. RNAcentral's name for it is "tRNA-Leu". It matches the Rfam family "tRNA". Rfam says of the family: Transfer RNA (tRNA) molecules are approximately 80 nucleotides in length. Their secondary structure includes four short double-helical elements and three loops (D, anti-codon, and T loops). Further hydrogen bonds mediate the characteristic L-shaped molecular structure. tRNAs have two regions of fundamental functional importance: the anti-codon, which is responsible for specific mRNA codon recognition, and the 3' end, to which the tRNAs corresponding amino acid is attached (by aminoacyl-tRNA synthetases). tRNAs cope with the degeneracy of the genetic code in two manners: having more than one tRNA (with a specific anti-codon) for a particular amino acid; and 'wobble' base-pairing, i.e. permitting non-standard base-pairing at the 3rd anti-codon position. Lineage: Bacteria; Bacillati; Bacillota; Clostridia; Lachnospirales; Lachnospiraceae. The record is from RNAcentral. RNAcentral also lists the same sequence under 1 other name.
GCGGAAGUGCUGGAACUGGCAGACAGGCAUGACUAAGGAUCAUGUGCUCGACGAGCGUGAGGGUUCAAGUCCCUUCUUCCGCA